UAGGUUGAUGCACAAAUAAUUGCUGUUUUUGCUGUUACUUUCAAUAGCAAAAACUGCAGUUACUUUUACACCAACCUAAUAC
Molecule: microRNA precursor, 82 nt
Filed under: Cebus imitator (Panamanian white-faced capuchin)
Lineage: Eukaryota; Metazoa; Chordata; Mammalia; Primates; Cebidae
Description: miRNA (ENSCCAG00000002294.1)
Source: RNAcentral